UACGGAGGGUGCGAGCGUUGUCCGGAAUCACUGGGCGUAAAGGGCGCGUAGGCGGUGACUUAAGCGUGUGGUGAAAGCUCGGGGCUCAACCCCGAGUCGGCCGUGCGAACUGGGUCACUGGAGCAGAUCAGAGGCAGGCGGAAUUCCGGGUGUAGCGGUGGAAUGCGUAGAGAUCCGGAAGAACACCGGUGGCGAAGGCGGCCUGCUGGGAUAUUGCUGACGCUGAGGCGCGACAGCGUGGGGAGCAAACAGG
This 253-nucleotide ribosomal RNA is filed under the name uncultured bacterium. RNAcentral's name for it is "partial 16S ribosomal RNA". It matches the Rfam family "Bacterial small subunit ribosomal RNA", at positions 524 to 776 of the family's 1533-position model. The record is from RNAcentral.